AGAACGAACGCUGGCGGCAUGCCUAAUACAUGCAAGUCGAACGAACUCUUCGGAGUUAGUGGCGCACGGGUGCGUAACGCGUGGGAAUCUGCCCCUUGGUUCGGAAUAACAGUUGGAAACGACUGCUAAUACCGGAUGAUGACGAAAGUCCAAAGAUUUAUCGCCAAGGGAUGAGCCCGCGUAGGAUUAGCUAGUUGGUGAGGUAAAGGCUCACCAAGGCAACGAUCCUUAGCUGGUCUGAGAGGAUGAUCAGCCACACUGGGACUGAGACACGGCCCAGACUCCUACGGGAGGCAGCAGUAGGAAUAGUUGACAAGUGGGCGCAAGCCUGACUCCAGCAAUGCCGCG
RNAcentral lists this ribosomal RNA (348 nucleotides) under uncultured soil bacterium. RNAcentral describes it as "bacterial SSU rRNA". It matches the Rfam family "Bacterial small subunit ribosomal RNA", at positions 26 to 401 of the family's 1533-position model. The record is from RNAcentral.